GUUUUGUCAUAGGAUAGUUGGUCGCUGUGCUGAAAAUCUUCUAGAAUCUGUUCCUGACCUACGCUCCUAAGCACAGAUCUAGGAUCAGCUCAUCCUCAUCAAGUCCAAACCUGGACCUUAAUAAACCACAAGGGGAACACUGACCUCAGACCAGCGUUUAAACCCCACGUCUUCCUGCCAAGACACUGACACUCCGUCCAGAAUUCCUCUGCUCUCCAGCCGUCCAUCCUUCCAUCCAUCCAUCCAGCCAUCCAUCCAUCCGUCCAUCCACACCCCAGCCAGCCAGCCAUGGGUCUGAUGAGUGAGGACAUGGAGUGCUGUGUCUGCCUCCAGCUCUACUCUCGCAGGGAGAAGAUCCCUCGGAUGCUCCACUGUAAGCACACAUUCUGUGGGUUGUGCUUGCAGGCGAUGUCCAGGCUCCAAAGCGGCCUACUGACAGUCUGCUGCCCCCUGUGCCGUUGGAUCACCUGCACCGAGCCCAGCCUCACCCUGCCGGGGUCGCUGUGGGUUAACAUUGAGAUCUGGGACCAGAUACUAGACAGACAACAGGAAGAGGAGGAGGAGGAAGAGGAGGAAGAGUGGAAGGGAGCUAACAGACAGACACAGACCACUACACAGUACACAUGUUCUCCAUCAAGGCAUUGUGGCCUGAGGCUCAAACUACAGAAUUUCCUGAGGAGGAUGAAGCACAAUGUAUUGUAAACCAAGAAGACGAAGAGCAGAGAAAGAAGACUGGAUUUUCCCAUCUCAGAGCAGGAGAUACUCAUUGAGUAAUGAAGCUAAUUCACAAAACAGGACCCACCGGUGAUUUUCCAUAAUGAAGCAAGAUUGAACCAAUUAUUCAUAUGCUUUGUGUUUGAUUGACUUUGGGUAUGUGUAAUGUUCUCAGUCAACUUACCUGGUAAAAUAAGGGUUAAAUUAUAGUAUUAAUCAUAAAGGAU
Molecule: long non-coding RNA, 941 nt
Organism: Oncorhynchus masou masou (cherry salmon)
Lineage: Eukaryota; Metazoa; Chordata; Actinopteri; Salmoniformes; Salmonidae
Exons: 3
Source: RefSeq, a predicted model, not a curated record